This 975-nucleotide ribosomal RNA is filed under the name uncultured Bacteroidota bacterium. RNAcentral's name for it is "bacterial SSU rRNA". It matches the Rfam family "Bacterial small subunit ribosomal RNA", at positions 9 to 987 of the family's 1533-position model. The record is from RNAcentral. Lineage: Bacteria; Pseudomonadati; Bacteroidota.
GAGUUUGAUCCUGGCUCAGGAUGAACGCUAGCGACAGGCUUAACACAUGCAAGUCGAGGGGUAGUUUUCUUCGGAGAAUGAGACCGGCGCACGGGUGCGUAACGCGUAUGCAAUCUACCUUUUACAGAGGGAUAGCCCAGAGAAAUUUGGAUUAAUACCUCAUAGUAUAGCUGAAUCGCAUGAUUCUACUAUUAAAGUCACAACGGUAAAAGAUGAGCAUGCGUCCCAUUAGCUAGUUGGUAAGGUAACGGCUUACCAAGGCAACGAUGGGUAGGGGUCCUGAGAGGGAGAUCCCCCACACUGGUACUGAGACACGGACCAGACUCCUACGGGAGGCAGCAGUGAGGAAUAUUGGUCAAUGGGCGCAAGCCUGAACCAGCCAUGCCGCGUGCAGGAUGACGGUCCUAUGGAUUGUAAACUGCUUUUGUACGAGAAGAAACACUCCUUCGUGAAGGAGCUUGACGGUAUCGUAAGAAUAAGGAUCGGCUAACUCCGUGCCAGCAGCCGCGGUAAUACGGAGGAUCCAAGCGUUAUCCGGAAUCAUUGGGUUUAAAGGGUCCGUAGGCGGCCUUAUAAGUCAGUGGUGAAAUCUCUCCGCUCAACGGGGGAAACUGCCAUUGAUACUGUAGGGCUUGAAUUAUUAGGAAGUAACUAGAAUAUGUAGUGUAGCGGUGAAAUGCUUAGAGAUUACAUGGAAUACCAAUUGCGAAGGCAGGUUACUACUAAUUGAUUGACGCUGAUGGACGAAAGCGUGGGUAGCGAACAGGAUUAGAUACCCUGGUAGUCCACGCCGUAAACGAUGGAUACUAGCUGUUGGGAGUAAUCUCAGUGGCUAAGCGAAAGUGAUAAGUAUCCCACCUGGGGAGUACGUUCGCAAGAAUGAAACUCAAAGGAAUUGACGGGGGCCCGCACAAGCGGUGGAGCAUGUGGUUUAAUUCGAUGAUACGCGCAGGGAACCUUACCAAGGCUUAAAUG